This is a long non-coding RNA of Balaenoptera musculus (blue whale), 316 nucleotides long. RefSeq lists it as uncharacterized. The record is from RefSeq and is a predicted model, not a curated record. The transcript has 3 exons. NCBI's taxonomy places the organism in Eukaryota, Metazoa, Chordata, Mammalia, Artiodactyla, Balaenopteridae.
AAAAAUAUAAAGGUGCCAUUGAAAAGGGCUUUUGCUGCAUGAAACUGAUUCUUUGAGAUUAAUCCAUGGCUUCAGAUUGGACCAAAACGAUAUUGAAUAUAUCGAUAGUUCCCUAGUGUGUAUAGCUUUAUAGCACUGGCCACUGCUUUGAAGUUUCCCAAGGACUUCAGCUGUGAGGAAUGGAAAAGGAAUCGAUAAGAAAAGAUGUUGGAUACAAAUUUUGACUCCAUGAAGACACUUUCUUAGUGUCUUGGAACCUGGUUUUACAACAAGGCCGCGGGCCCGAAUGAUUUCCACCUCCAACUGUCCCUUUUUG